Molecule: ribosomal RNA, 246 nt
Filed under: Babesia odocoilei
Lineage: Eukaryota; Apicomplexa; Aconoidasida; Piroplasmida; Babesiidae
Description: partial small subunit ribosomal RNA
Rfam family: Eukaryotic small subunit ribosomal RNA
Source: RNAcentral
GUCUGGUGCCAGCAGCCGCGGUAAUUCCAGCUCCAAUAGCGUAUAUUAAACUUGUUGCAGUUAAAAAGCUCGUAGUUGAAUUUCUGCGUCACCGUAUUUUGACUUUUGUCGACUGUCGGUUUCGCUUUUGGGAUUUAUCCCUUUUUACUUUGAGAAAAUUAGAGUGUUUCAAGCAGACUUUUGUCUUGAAUACUUCAGCAUGGAAUAAUAAAGGAGGACUUUGGUUCUAUUUUGUUGGUAUGUGAA